RNAcentral lists this ribosomal RNA (765 nucleotides) under uncultured Streptococcus sp. Its description in RNAcentral is "bacterial SSU rRNA". It matches the Rfam family "Bacterial small subunit ribosomal RNA", at positions 28 to 776 of the family's 1533-position model. Lineage: Bacteria; Bacillati; Bacillota; Bacilli; Lactobacillales; Streptococcaceae. The record is from RNAcentral.
GAUGAACGCUGGCGGCGUGCCUAAUACAUGCAAGUAGAACGCUGAAGCUUGGUGCUUGCACCGAGCGGAUGAGUUGCGAACGGGUGAGUAACGCGUAGGUAACCUGCCUCUUAGCGGGGGAUAACUAUUGGAAACGAUAGCUAAUACCGCAUAAAAGACGAUAUCGCAUGAUAUUGAUUUGAAAGGUGCAAAUGCAUCACUAAGAGAUGGACCUGCGUUGUAUUAGCUAGUUGGUGAGGUAACGGCUCACCAAGGCAACGAUACAUAGCCGACCUGAGAGGGUGAUCGGCCACACUGGGACUGAGACACGGCCCAGACUCCUACUGGAGGCAGCAGUAGGGAAUCUUCGGCAAUGGGGGCAACCCUGACCGAGCAACGCCGCGUGAGUGAAGAAGGUUUUCGGAUCGUAAAGCUCUGUUGUAAGAGAAGAACGAGUGUGAGAGUGGAAAGUUCACACUGUGACGGUAACUUACCAGAAAGGGACGGCUAACUACGUGCCAGCAGCCGCGGUAAUACGUAGGUCCCGAGCGUUAUCCGGAUUUAUUGGGCGUAAAGCGAGCGCAGGCGGUUAGAUAAGUCUGAAGUUAAAGGCUGUGGCUUAACCAUAGUACGCUUUGGAAACUGUUUAACUUGAGUGCAGAAGGGGAGAGUGGAAUUCCAUGUGUAGCGGUGAAAUGCGUAGAUAUAUGGAGGAACACCGGUGGCGAAAGCGGCUCUCUGGUCUGUAACUGACGCUGAGGCUCGAAAGCGUGGGGAGCAAACAGG